This 5907-nucleotide long non-coding RNA is filed under the name Capsella rubella. Its description in RNAcentral is "long non-coding RNA (CRUB_LNC003398)". Lineage: Eukaryota; Viridiplantae; Streptophyta; Magnoliopsida; Brassicales; Brassicaceae. The record is from RNAcentral.
AUCGCAAUGAACGUAACCCUGACUAUGGAUAGAGACAAGUCCUUCAAGAAUCAUACGAGUAGAGUCUCUGAUCAUUGAAUCAGACAAUGACCUUGUUUCCAUGAGAUUAGUUAAACUUCCAUGAUAGGCUCAGAGUACCAUUGGCUUUGAUGAGAAGGAAGAUGAGAACUAAUGGAAGAAAGGAAAGAGCUAGGGAGAAGUAUUUGAGGAAGAAGGUUAUUGAAAGUGGCUAAGUGUGAAGGACCUGCUGGGAGAGUCAGAGGCUUCACUACUCUUAAUAAGUCUAUUGACAAAGUGUUGUCGUUUUACAAUUACAUUAUGUAUUUAGGGAAGCUUCCCAUUUUAGGGUUAAGCUAUGGUUUUGAAUCAUCAAUAACAUAUCAUUUCUCUUCUAUCUUAUCUCUUCUCCGCCGUCACAACGGUGCAAUACUUUUCUCCCUCUUUCUAUUCUUGUUACUAAGGUUACUAAGUCUAUCAUUGGUGCUUUCAUUGAGAGUGCGAUGGCUCCCAAUCCAACCGCCGCCGUCGUUCCGGAGUCGAGAUCGGCUACACCGGAGCUCGAGACUCCUCCCCCUGAAACUGUAACAACUCCGUCACUUGAAUCACGAGUUUCGGGUCUGGAAAAAGAGCUUAUGUACAUCCAUGGAGCUCUCAAGCUCAUCCUUCAGAACCAGAAUGUCGAGAUGAACCGUGAAGGUCGUGAAUCUUCACCAGCUGCUUUCGCGAGUCCUCUCUCUUCGGUUCAGUUCCAGGCGACGCCCACGCCGCAAGAGACAACAGAGCAAAGCUCAAAGCAACCCAUUCUUCCCACACCGUACACGGAGACUCCGACCAGAACUGUCGAACCAAGAGCACCACCACCACCACCCCAGCUUCCGACGACUGCGCCUAACCCGACCAUGUUCCAACCCACACCGGAAUGGCCAUGGAAACCUCUGGAUCUGCCUUUGUUUGAUGGGAGAAACCCAGAAGAUUGGAUUUUCAGGUUGGAAAGGUGUUUCGCUUCCAAUCGAGUGCCGGAUUCUGACAAGAUUGACCAAGCUCUCACGUGUCUCACAGGUCAAGCUAUCACGUGGUGGCGUUAUUCACACGUUCGGUGGAAGGUUAACAACUGGGACGAGUUUAAAGAAAGGUGUGUGUUACGAUUCAAGCCUAGUCGAGGAAAUACGUCAACAGACCAUCUGAUUAGCCUCACUCAGUCAGGUAGCGUUGACGAUUUCAGAGACAAAUUUGAGGAGUUAGCAGUAGAGCUUCCUCACGUACCCAUAGAUGUGUUGGAGUGCUCGUUCUUGAAGGGGCUGAAGAAGAGUAUCAGAGACCAAGUGGUUCGUAGUAGACCAAACAAUUUGGAUGACAUGGUGGAGACUGCGAGAAUGAUUGAGUCGCAAGAGAGGGAGACGUCGAGCUACCAGUCUCGCCCUUUCACCAAGUCGUAUCAGCCACAAGCUAUGAUACCGAGUGGAAAUGCAGGGAAACAUGUGGAGUAUUCCCAACAGAAGAGACCCUAUGACACAGCAAGGGAUUUUAAAAAACCAACCGGAGGGGGUGAGGGUCGAAAUUCUAAUCCUUGUCGGAGCUGCGGAGAAAAAUGGUUUCCUGGACACAGAUGCAAACAACCUCGACUCAAAUGUCAUGAAGUGGGUGAAGAUGAUGAUGAGGAAGAGUUUCAAGAGGCAAGAGAGGUCCAGGAAGAGGAAGGAGAACCAGAAGAAGAACUAGUCACACUCUCUUUGAAUUCUAAGGCAGGUCUUACCGAUGAGAAAUCCAUGAAGCUCAGAGGUCAGAUAAGAGGAAGAGAUGUGGUAGUGCUAGUAGAUUCUGGAGCUACACGAAACUUCAUUAAUGAGAAGGUUGUCAAGGAGAUGAAUUGGCCCAUUGAUGAUAAGCGUGGCUUUGGGGUCAGAGUUGGAGGUGGAAGGAUCAUCCGAGGCCAAGGACGAUGUACUAACACUGUCUUAGAAAUCCAAGAUGUGGAGAUUAUUGAGGAGUUCCUGGUGUUUGAUCUGGGAUCUGUGGAUGUAGUUCUGGGAUUCUCUUGGCUGGCUUCUUUAGGGGAUACCAGAACAAAUUGGGGGCUGUUGAGAAUUAGUUGGAAGAUUGGAAAUUACUGGGUGUCCAUUACUGGGGAUCCUGCACUAAGCAAGGAGCAAGUUUCACUGAGGACUAUGGAAAGGGUAGCUCAACAUACUGGGUUAAUCUACUGGUUGGAACUCACCUCUUUAUUUGGGGACAAUGGGGAAAAGCACAAAGAGGAGAUCAGUGCAGAGAUCAAGAAGGUGAUUGACCAACACAAAGCUGUCUUUGCAACACCACAAGGGUUACCUCCUGUAAGGAACCGUGAGCAUGCCAUUACCUUACAAGAAGGUUCAGGACCGGUUAAUCUCAGACCCUACAGGUACUCCUACAUCCAAAAGAAUGAAAUUGAGAAGUUAGUGCAAGAGAUGUUGGAAGCACAAGUCAUAAGGCCAAGCAUCAGUCCCUAUUCCAGUCCUGUUUUGCUGGUUAAAAAGAAGGAUGGAGGUUGGAGAUUCUGUGUGGAUUACAGAGCAUUAAACAAGGCUACAAUUCCCGAUAGAUAUCCUAUUCCAGUGAUAGAGGAGCUGCUUGAUGAACUACAUGGGGCAACCAUCUUUUCUAAGCUUGACCUCCGGUCCGGGUAUCACCAAAUUCGCAUGAAAGACUCAGAUGUGGAGAAAACAGCUUUUAAAACGCAUCAAGGGCACUACGAGUUCCUGGUAAUGCCGUUUGGGCUCACAAACGCACCCUCUACUUUUCAGUGCGUAAUGAAUGAUCUAUUCAGACCCUUCUUGCGGAGGUUUGUAUUAGUAUUUUUCGAUGAUAUAUUGGUCUACAGCCCAGACGAGUCCACGCAUGUUGAGCAUCUGGGGAUAGUGCUUAAUAUGAUGCAGCAGCACCAAUUCUAUGUUAAUGCAAAGAAGUGCUCUUUUGGUGAAACAGAGGUAUCCUAUUUGGGUCACCGGAUCUCUAAAAAAGGUGUAGCAGCAGACCCUGAAAAGAUAACAGCCAUGACAGAAUGGCCAGUGCCAAAGAGCGUGACUGAACUCCGGGGAUUCUUGGGCCUAACUGGUUAUUAUAGAAGGUUUGUGAGGAACUAUGGGCAGAUAGCGAGACCACUCACCAACUUGCUGAAGAAGAACGGAUUUGAAUGGUCAUUGGCAGCCACUGAAGCUUUUCAGAAUCUUAAACAAGCAGUAACCAGCCUGCCAGUUCUUGUCCUACCAGACUUCACACAAGAGUUUACAGUGGAGACAGAUGCUUCUGGAGCAGGUAUAGGGGCGGUUCUCUCUCAGAAUAAGAGGCCAAUUGCCUUUAUCAGCCAAGCCUUUUCAUCCCAAGGAAGAAUAAAAUCUGUUUAUGAAAGAGAGUUGUUAGCAAUUGUGAAGGCAGUCACCAAAUGGAAACACUAUCUAGCAGGGAAGGAGUUUGUUAUCAAGACAGACCAGAGCAGCCUCAAGCACUUGCUAGAUCAAAAAGCUAUCUCUACAAUCCAACAAAGGUGGGCAUCUAAACUUAUUGGCUUGACUUACAGGAUUGAAUACAAGCCUGGUGUGGAAAAUAGAGUAGCUGAUGCUCUCUUUAGGAGACCUCAUGAAGAAGAAUUGCUGCAGCUCACUUACACUGCUCCUCCCAGCCUAGACAAAGAAGCUUUGCUGAAAGAAAUCAGAGAGGACAAAGAAUGGGGAGUUAUUUACAAGGAAGUGGAAUCAGGAACCCUCAAAGAUAGUGAGUACAAAGUGUGGCAGGGAAUGCUGUACAAGAACAACCGGCUUGUUAUUCCCUCAGGUUCAACAUUCAUUCCUAAAUUGUUGGAACAGUUUCAUUGCAGUCCAACUGGGGGGCAUGAGGGUGCUUUAAAGACGUUUAAGAGACUGACUCAAGAGGUGUUCUGGAGAGGAAUGAGAAAAGAUGUGAUUCAGUUCAUCAAGGGUUGUCAAGUUUGCCAGGAGAAUAAGUAUGCAACGUUGUCACCUGCUGGACUGCUUUCACCACUGCCCAUUCCGGAACAGAUAUGGACAGAUAUCAGCCUAGAUUUUGUUGAAGGAUUACCAGCCUCUAAGGGUUAUAACUCGAUUCUGGUAGUAGUGGAUCGCCUAAGUAAGUAUGCUCAUUUUCUGCCCCUAAAGCAUCCUUUUACAGCAAAGACAGUGGCUGAAGCCUUCAUCAGAGAGGUUGUGAAAUUGCAUGGGUUUCCAGAGACAAUAGUUUCAGACAGAGACCGAAUCUUCUUGAGCAGCUUCUGGUCGCAGCUUUUCAAGAUGCAGGGAACAAACUUAUGCAAAAGCACUGCUUACCACCCUCAAUCUGACGGGCAAACAGAGGUGGUGAACAGGUGCCUUGAGACCUACUUAAGAUGUUUCACUAGUAGGCGACCUACAUGUUGGAUCCAAUGGCUUCCCUGGGCUGAAUACUGGUACAACACCUCAUACCAUUCAUCAACUAAAACCACCCCUUUCAUGGCUGUCUACGGUAGAGAUCCGCCGCGUUUGCUCAGGUAUGGUGAUAUUCCUACCCCUAAUGCAAACGUUGAUGAGUUAUUGCGUGAUAGGGACAGUAUCUUGGUUGAGCUGCGGGAGAAUCUGGAAGUAGCGCAGAACAGAAUGCAGAAGUCUGCCAAUAAACAUCGCCGGGAUGUUGAACAUCAGGUUGGAGAUUGGGUAUACUUGAAAUUAAGGCCAUAUCGUCAAAGUUCAGUGGUUUAUAGGAGGGUUGAGAAGCUGUCACAAAGAUACUUUGGGCCUUAUCAGAUUUUGGAGAAGAUAGGAAGGGUAGCUUACAAGUUGCAGUUGCCGUCAACAAGUUUGAUCCACCCAGUUUUUCACGUGUCUCAACUCAAGGCAGCUAUUCCACCAACUUUCACUCCUCAAGAGCUGCCUAAGAUUCUGACACCAGCACUGGAAUGGGCAACAGAACCAGAAUCACUUGUUGACAUAAGAAGAGCUGAAACAGGAAAUGAGACAGAAGUUUUGGUGAAGUGGACAGGGCUGCCUGCAUCUGAAUCUACAUGGGAAUCUCUCUCUACUCUGAUUCAGCAAUUUCCUACAUGUGACCUUGAGGACAAGGUCAAUCUUUUACGGGGGAGUAUUGAUAGGCUCAGAGUACCAUUGGCUUUGAUGAGAAGGAAGAUGAGAACUAAUGGAAGAAAGGAAAGAGCUAGGGAGAAGUAUUUGAGGAAGAAGGUUAUUGAAAGUGGCUAAGUGUGAAGGACCUGCUGGGAGAGUCAGAGGCUUCACUACUCUUAAUAAGUCUAUUGACAAAGUGUUGUCGUUUUACAAUUACAUUAUGUAUUUAGGGAAGCUUCCCAUUUUAGGGUUAAGCUAUGGUUUUGAAUCAUCAAUAACAUAUCAUUUCUCUUCUAUCUUAUCUCUUCUCCGCCGUCACAACGGUGCAAUACUUUUCUCCCUCUUUCUAUUCUUGUUACUAAGGUUACUAAGUCUAUCAUUCCACCAGCUGCAUACUCCAUUGACAUUCUAUACACUCUGACUCCGUAAUCAUUGACACCUCUCGACAAACUUGUCCCGCAAGUCUGCACGAUCCUAGGGCAUUCUCUGAGUUUAUACAGAAUCUUAAACUCUUUGAGGAGAGGUUCGAAGUCUUGUGGGUAGGAGGUUUUCACGGCUUGGUAGUACGGAUUCGAGCCGUCUGGUUUCGUGAAUCUGACGAGAUCGACGGAACCAUACGAACCUUUGCCUAAGGGUUUCAUAAACUCCAUCGAUGGAAACAUUCUUAACUGCACUAAAACCCUAAUUAAAUCUGAUUUUUUUAGGGAAAAAGAAAGGAGGAGAAAUUUAAGAAUUGUGAUUGAAAUUGAAGAUUAUGAGAAAGGGCUUUCUUUUUAAUUAGCCGAUAGGAAAAAAGGAGACUAACAAAAGAGAAAUUGAAAGAUCU